This 413-nucleotide ribosomal RNA is filed under the name Aureobasidium sp. 1 GAMM-2015. RNAcentral's name for it is "eukaryotic LSU rRNA". It matches the Rfam family "Eukaryotic large subunit ribosomal RNA", at positions 66 to 481 of the family's 3401-position model. Lineage: Eukaryota; Fungi; Ascomycota; Dothideomycetes; Dothideales; Saccotheciaceae. The record is from RNAcentral.
CAACAGGGAUUAGCCUAGUAACGGCGAGUGAAGCGGCAACAGCUCAAAUUUGAAAGCUAGCCUUCGGGUUCGCAUUGUAAUUUGUAGAGGAUGCUUUGGGUAAAACGCCAGUCUAAUUUCCUUGGAACAAGACGUCAUAAAGGGUGAGAAUCCCGUAUGUGACUGGAAAUGUUAACCUAUGUAAAGCUCCUUCAACCAAUCGAGUUGUUUGGGAAUGCAGCUCUAAAUGGGAGGUAAAUUUCUUCUAAAGCUAAAUAUUGGCGAGAGACCGAUAGCGCACAAGUAGAGUGAUCGAAAGAUGAAAAGCACUUUGGAAAGAGAGUUAUAAAGCACGUGAAAUUGUUGAAAGGGAAGCGCUUGCAAUCAGACUUGUUUAAACUGUUCGGCCGGUCUUCUGACCGGUUUACUCAGUU